CGUAAAAGGUUGAGACCCAUAAGACUUGUCCGAGGCCUCGUCUUCGGGCGAAGAAGCAGCAGCGCUGUGGGCGCUUGUAAUUCCAGAGUCACUGGAGUCUUGUGCGUCUACGAAACCACCAUCGUGCCAGGGGCUUGUAGAAGAGGUGCUCUAUUGUCUGCUGCCGGAUUGCAGUUGGUGGUAACGGAUGUGACGGGACGUGUACUUGCAACUGUUUCAAAAGAAAUUACAAAUGAAUAAACUCGGUACUGCAAUGGUGGUCGUAGGCUAAAGCAGACUGUAUGUAUGGACAAGAUAGUCGUAUAUUAAUUGUUAAUGCUCCAGCAAGUGUUGGUCACUAAUGCGUUGUCCAAAUUGUCAAACCUUAUAUGCUUAAAAGCCAAAUACAAUAAUCCAUUCAC
This is a non-coding RNA of Ciona intestinalis (vase tunicate), 401 nucleotides long. The record is from RefSeq and is a predicted model, not a curated record. NCBI's taxonomy places the organism in Eukaryota, Metazoa, Chordata, Ascidiacea, Phlebobranchia, Cionidae.